CCACUGUGCUGAAACUCACAUUGCUGAC
This 28-nucleotide non-coding RNA is filed under the name Rattus norvegicus (Norway rat). Lineage: Eukaryota; Metazoa; Chordata; Mammalia; Rodentia; Muridae. The record is from RNAcentral.